This 308-nucleotide long non-coding RNA is filed under the name Nicotiana benthamiana. Its description in RNAcentral is "long non-coding RNA (NBEN_LNC023962)". The record is from RNAcentral. Lineage: Eukaryota; Viridiplantae; Streptophyta; Magnoliopsida; Solanales; Solanaceae.
CCUGAUGAAGCUGCUUAAACUGUCUGCGCAGCUACUCUCGAUGAGACUUGAGUACAAACUUCUCCAUGAAAAGAAUCGGGAACUACUUCAAGAAACUCUGGGCAUCCUCGCCCUCUGCACCACUAAAAGUCGGAGGCUAAAAUCUACCAAACCUUUCCAAGCUGCAUUGCUCGCCCUCUAGCAUAAUAGGAUCUACAUAUUCCUGAGCAGCUGCAACCGAUCUGGAUGUUCCCCUGGUGAUUAAAGUCAGUACACGACCUGCUCAGGUGUGUGAGCGGCAGGAGUCUGAGUGCCUCCCCCCGCCUGAG